CAUCCAUGUAAGAUGUGACUUGCUCCUCCUUGCCUUCCACCAUGAUUGUGAGGCCUCCCCAGCCACGUGGAACUGAAAUUAGGAUCAGCUCUUGUCCAGUUCAAGCUGACUCCACUGAGCCUCCAAUGGCCUGUAUGAAUGCCCAAUGAGUGCCCUUUUGACAUCAGAAGGCCAAAAACUCCACCCUCAGAUUGUGCCAACGACACCAUCUUGCGAACGUGGAUCCUAUGAAAAGCCAUGAAGCUUAACUGCACUCGCACAGAUCAGCAAUUACCUCACUUUUCCUUACCACCAAUUAACUUUUUCCAUGCAUUGGACUGCCUUGCUCCUUUAUCCCACAAAUAUCCCUAAUGCCCCAACUUCAAGGAGGAGAAUUUGAGGGGUGUUAUCCCACCUCCUCACUUGGCUGCCUCAUGAAUAAAAUCUUUUCUCCACUGC
This 438-nucleotide long non-coding RNA is filed under the name Homo sapiens (human). RNAcentral's name for it is "LHRI_LNC1008.1". The record is from RNAcentral. Lineage: Eukaryota; Metazoa; Chordata; Mammalia; Primates; Hominidae.